Molecule: long non-coding RNA, 1000 nt
Filed under: Ovis aries (sheep)
Lineage: Eukaryota; Metazoa; Chordata; Mammalia; Artiodactyla; Bovidae
Description: lncRNA (ENSOARG00000026035.1)
Source: RNAcentral
CUGGCCGAUGUCACUCCUGCUGGUACAUACAAGGAAGGGCAAGUUCCUUGCUUCAGUUAUUUCCAAUUUCAGCUGUUUUGUGUCCAAACCACAGUUUUUAAAAUGAGCAAAUAUGAUCUGGGGAAAAUAAAAGAAUGAACUUUAGAUUAAAAAAAAAAAAGAUGAGGUAGCUUUGCUUUUUAAGGAAUACAGUCUUAUAAACUGACAACACCAAAUAUUAUUUUAAAGAAGGAACAUAAAUGCUUACACGGUAAUCUCUAAUCUGUAAAUUAUUUCAUUGGUCUGUAAAUAGCCACCCUUUCUCCUCUAGAAUCUAUCCUCUAUCUAUGUGUCUAUACACCUGUAAGUCCUCAAUUUUAAACUCAAGAAAAGGCUUUGUAUAUUUUUACUCGUAGGCUAAGAAGUAACUGACUUUAUUUUAAGGCAAUGGAGGCCUGAUUUAGGGCUUCCCAAGUGGCACUAGUGGUAAAGAACCCCCUGCCAAUGCAGGAGACAUAAGAGACGCAGGUUCUAUCCCUGGAUUAGGAAGAUCCCCUGGAGGAGGAAAUGGCAACCCACUCCGGUAUUCCUGCCUGGAAAUUUCCAUGGACAGAGGUGCCUGGUGGGCUACAGUCCAUAGUGUAGCAAAGAGUCCAUAGGGUCCUAAAGAGUUCAUAGGGUCGCAAAGAGUCAGACAUGAAUGAGCAACUAGCAUGCGCCAUGCAUGCCUGAUGUACCUUUCAAUGGAAGUUUUGAUAAUAGGGUUGCAGGGUUUCAUGGACACCAGAGGAGGCAAAAGAAGAGGGUUAGAAAAGGUGCUAGAAACAAAGAUUUAUUAAAGGUCUUCCAUGGUUCUAGUACUAUACCCUACCCUGUAGAUUCAUUGAUAGAAUCUCAGUCAUAGCAAAUGCAAUUCUUUCCAGUUCAGGAAAUUUCAUUUUCAAAAAGUGACUUAUUAGACAUUUUCAGUUAAAGACAUGAUAAAUUGAGUUAUGCAGUCAAAAGUAACCAUAAAUUUCAC